Molecule: long non-coding RNA, 598 nt
Organism: Scophthalmus maximus (turbot)
Lineage: Eukaryota; Metazoa; Chordata; Actinopteri; Pleuronectiformes; Scophthalmidae
Exons: 2
Source: RefSeq, a predicted model, not a curated record
UUUUUUCUCUUUUGCUCUUGCAGAACACAUGACAUGGCUCGUUAUCGCGCUUCGAGCGUCGCUGCGCCUCAGUGGCUGCGUUGAGACUCUCAUGCGUCUCUUCCUGCUGCUCUUAGUCACCGCACUCCCAGCAGACACCUCCCAGUGCUUUUGCUAAGAAGAGAGAGAGAAGAAACCAGCCGUGCACAUCUCAGUGAUUAUGUCUCAGUCAAAUGGCAAAUGGGAGAUCUGGACUGAUGUUUCAUCGGUAAGGCAACGAAACCCCGGCGCGAUGGAGCCGAAGAAGACGGAAGGCGGGACAAGGCGGUUUGCCAGACCAGGAGCAGCUUUUUCCUCUCUGCAUCGGGUCAGUCAUCCUGUCAGUCAUCCUGUCGGUCCAGGCUGACACCGUGGGACCUCGUGCGCUCGGGCCUGUCCCGCUGCCACGCGACGUCCGAUCGAGUCACAGGUGGACUCAAAGAAAAAUCAAAGCCAACGGGAAGCGCCGCUGAAAAGGCUCUGAAUAGGCCUUCAAUGCAAAAAAAUGUGGUUGGUUGGUUGAUUUAAAAUUAAAUCACAGCUAUAUAAAAACGGCACAAUAAAGUGUGCUAAAGUUGAA